This 1368-nucleotide unclassified non-coding RNA is filed under the name Hevea brasiliensis (rubber tree). Lineage: Eukaryota; Viridiplantae; Streptophyta; Magnoliopsida; Malpighiales; Euphorbiaceae. The record is from RNAcentral.
GUCGUACCAAACAUGGUCUUAUUCCCUUCCCUCCUCUAUAGCCAACCAUUUAUUUAUUAUACAAAGCAAAAAAAACAUCUUAAAAUAUAUACGUACACAUAUAACAAAAAAGUUGCAUAAAUAUCAUACAAAAGGAAGAAAAAAAUUAAGCCUUACCAGUACUACCACCCCUAUCAGGAAGCUUGCCAUUAGACCUCACAGUCACUACUGACUUUGACGAUGCAGAAGAUGAUCUGGUAGACCUAUCAAACUCUUGUUUAUCCUCAGUAAAUGCCUUAGUUAGAACUUCCUGGAGUUCCAUGUAUCUUCUUUUCUUUUGGAGUCGUUCCUCUGGAGUGUCAUUCCCCAAAUAGGCGAGCUGCGAUAAGUCAUCAGCAUCCAUGAUCCUGUUUAGUACUUCUGAGCACUUAGGGAAAAACCUUUUCCCAAGUUCCACAGUUUUAGAGAGCGCUCUCAUCCUACUCAGAUGCUCCUCUUGAAUUCUGAAAGGUGCCUCAUUCAAAUCCACUGUUGUCCUCUGAGCACCAGCCAAAUUCUUCACCUUGGCGCUAGUUAAUGGAAAUUCACUAGUGCCAUCCACUUGAGCAAUAUCCAUCGCAACUUUCGCUUCCAUGGGGAAUAAAAGUUUUGCCAGCCCAACUCUAUUUUCAAGGUACAAUAAUUUCAUUCGCAGGUCAUCACCAGCCAUAGCAAGAGAAAGAGAAGCCUCUCCAAGCAAUGGAUCUCUUCUUUCUGCUUGUUCCAAUACCUCUAUGCAUAAUCGUUCCUUGGGAGAAGCUUUUCCUUCCUCAGUAUAGCUAUAGUAAUCUGAAGCCCUAGUAAGUCGCUUCGAUAUUUGAAGUGCUUUUCUACCAUCCAGAGUAAGAUCUGACGGACGAGCUCCCUUAGUCAAGAGAGAUACAAUAAUCUUAGGCUCUUUACGCAUUGCAGCAACAUGCAGUACAGUGUAGCCUCUUGAAUUUCCCUUAAAUUUUUAUGGUUUACAUCAGCAAUUCCAAGAUCAAGAAGCUCGGUGGUAGUCUUUGCAUCACAGUACGCAACAGCAUAAUGGAGUGCAUGUGCAUCAUCCAAAUUGGUAUGCGCCUCUUUUAGUAGCAUUCUAACUAAUUCUACAUCAUCUGAGUCCAAAGCCCGGUGUAUUCUCUUUACAUGUUUAUCAGGAUAACCUGUGCUUUCAGGUGUCUCCAGACCAAACUCUAAGCGAGAAUCUGUUAUUUGCUUUACAAUGUGUUGAGGCAAGGCCUUGUCAAGAGUUACAAUAUCAGCAUCAGAUUUCAUAAUGAUCUCGAUACAUCUUGCAAACAAUCUCUCACAAGCUUUACCACAUAUAUUUGCAACAGAUAGAACCACCAAGAUGUCAUCAAUUGC